AGAGCCACGUUUCGGUUUAGAAUUCCUACGCUUUACCGUGUGAAAGGCUGGCAAAGCGUUUGGAUUCUGAAUCGAACCUUUG
RNAcentral lists this microRNA precursor (82 nucleotides) under Tribolium castaneum (red flour beetle). RNAcentral's name for it is "mir-927 microRNA precursor family". It matches the Rfam family "mir-927 microRNA precursor family". The record is from Rfam by way of RNAcentral. Lineage: Eukaryota; Metazoa; Arthropoda; Insecta; Coleoptera; Tenebrionidae.